Molecule: small nuclear RNA, 184 nt
Filed under: Fukomys damarensis (Damara mole-rat)
Lineage: Eukaryota; Metazoa; Chordata; Mammalia; Rodentia; Bathyergidae
Description: 7SK RNA
Rfam family: 7SK RNA (bases 31-162)
About the family: 7SK was discovered as an abundant small nuclear RNA in the mid-70s but a possible function has only recently been suggested.
Source: Rfam by way of RNAcentral
AGAUGGUCUUGGUUCUCAUUGUAGGAUCAUUUCCUCUGUCAAGGGUAUACGAGUAGCUGCGCUCCUCUGCUAGAACCUCCAAACAAGCUCUCAAGGUCCAUUUUUUGUAAUUUGUAUUAAAACUGCUAAGAGAAGGGAGAUAUUGACCUAGGCCUUUCAGAUUACCUGAACCUGACUCUUCACU